Molecule: microRNA precursor, 182 nt
Filed under: Pediculus humanus corporis (human body louse)
Lineage: Eukaryota; Metazoa; Arthropoda; Insecta; Psocodea; Pediculidae
Description: microRNA mir-598
Source: RNAcentral
CCACGACGACGACGGUGAUGAUGAUGAUGAUGAUGAUGAUAAUGAUGACAACAGCCUUUUGUCCUCAUUUUAAUUAAUUUAUCAGAAUUUGAGGCGUGUGCGACCGUCGCGAGUCAAUUAUGACAACAACGAAUGACGACGAAUCAUCAUCAUCAUCAUCAUUAUUAUUAUUAUUAUUAUUA